GGCUGGUCCGAUGGUAGUGAUUUAUCAGAACUUAUUAACAUUAGUGUCACUAAAGUUGGUAUACAACCCCCCACUGCUAAAUUUGACUGGCUUUUA
Gorilla gorilla gorilla (western lowland gorilla) is the source of this 96-nucleotide unclassified non-coding RNA. It matches the Rfam family "Y RNA". Rfam says of the family: Y RNAs are components of the Ro ribonucleoprotein particle (Ro RNP), in association with Ro60 and La proteins. The Y RNAs and Ro60 and La proteins are well conserved, but the function of the Ro RNP is not known. In humans the RNA component can be one of four small RNAs -- hY1, hY3, hY4 and hY5. Lineage: Eukaryota; Metazoa; Chordata; Mammalia; Primates; Hominidae. The record is from Ensembl.